GAUGAACGCUGGCGGCGUGCCUAAUACAUGCAAGUCGAGCGAACAGACGAGGAGCUUGCUCCUCUGACGUUAGCGGCGGACGGGUGAGUAACACGUGGAUAACCUACCUAUAAGACUGGGAUAACUUCGGGAAACCGGAGCUAAUACCGGAUAAUAUAUUGAACCGCAUGGUUCAAUAGUGAAAGACGGUUUUGCUGUCACUUAUAGAUGGAUCCGCGCCGCAUUAGCUAGUUGGUAAGGUAACGGCUUACCAAGGCAACGAUGCGUAGCCGACCUGAGAGGGGGAUCGGCCACACUGGAGCUGAGACACGGUCCAGACUCCUACGGGAGGCAGCAGUAGGGAAUCUUCCGCAAUGGGCGAAAGCCUGACGGAGCAACGCCGCGUGAGUGAUGAAGGGCUUCGGAUCGUAAAACUCUGUUAUUAGGGAAGAACAAAUGUGUAAGUAACGAUGCACGUCUUGACGGUACCUAAGCAGAAAGCCACGGCUAACUACGU
RNAcentral lists this ribosomal RNA (496 nucleotides) under uncultured bacterium. RNAcentral describes it as "partial 16S ribosomal RNA". It matches the Rfam family "Bacterial small subunit ribosomal RNA", at positions 28 to 506 of the family's 1533-position model. The record is from RNAcentral.